This 162-nucleotide unclassified non-coding RNA is filed under the name uncultured Exophiala. Its description in RNAcentral is "sequence contains ITS2". The record is from RNAcentral. Lineage: Eukaryota; Fungi; Ascomycota; Eurotiomycetes; Chaetothyriales; Herpotrichiellaceae.
UCAACCCUCAGGCCUGGCUUGUUGUUGGACUCGGGACCCUUGUCAGGGUUAACCGGUCUCAAAGACAAUGACGGCGUCCGUGAGACCCUCGGUACAAUGAGCUUUCUGAGCACGUACCGCAGUGGGCUGGCGGGCCCGGUCCUCCUUUUUUAAUUUCUAAGG